RNAcentral lists this ribosomal RNA (465 nucleotides) under uncultured bacterium. RNAcentral's name for it is "partial 16S ribosomal RNA". It matches the Rfam family "Bacterial small subunit ribosomal RNA", at positions 28 to 507 of the family's 1533-position model. The record is from RNAcentral.
GACGAACGCUGGCGGCGUGCUUAACACAUGCAAGUCGAACGGAAAGGCCCCUUUGGGGGUACUCGAGUGGCGAACGGGUGAGUAACACGUGAGUAACCUGCCCUUGACUUCGGGAUAACUUCAGGAAACUGGGGCUAAUACCGGAUAGGAAUCCUUGCUGCAUGGUGGGGGUUGGAAAGCUUCGGCGGUUUUGGAUGGACUCGCGGCUUAUCAGCUUGUUGGUGGGGUAGUGGCUUACCAAGGCUUUGACGGGUAGCCGGCCUGAGAGGGCGACCGGCCACAUUGGGACUGAGAUACGGCCCAGACUCCUACGGGAGGCAGCAGUGGGGAAUAUUGCACAAUGGGCGGAAGCCUGAUGCAGCAACGCCGCGUGCGGGAUGACGGCCUUCGGGUUGUAAACCGCUUUCAGCAGGGGCGAAGCUUGUGGUGACGGUACCUGCAGAAGAAGCACCUGCUAACUACGUG